CCUACGGGGCGCAGCAGUGGGGAAUAUUGGACAAUGGGCGAAAGCCUGAUCCAGCCAUGCCGCGUGUGUGAAGAAGGCCUUCGGGUUGUAAAGCACUUUCAGUGGGGAAGAAAGCCUUGGGGCUAAUACCCUCGAGGAAGGACAUCACCCACAGAAGAAGCACCGGCUAACUCCGUGCCAGCAGCCGCGGUAAUACGGAGGGUACGAGCGUUAAUCGGAAUUACUGGGCGUAAAGCGCGCGUAGGCGGUCUGAUAAGCCGGUUGUGAAAGCCCCGGGCUCAACCUGGGAACGGCAUCCGGAACUGUCAGGCUAGAGUGCAGGAGAGGAAGGUAGAAUUCCCGGUGUAGCGGUGAAAUGCGUAGAGAUCGGGAGGAAUACCAGUGGCGAAGGCGGCCUUCUGGACUGACACUGACGCUGAGGUGCGAAAGCGUGGGUAGCAAACAGGAUUAGAUACCCGAGUAGUC
This 465-nucleotide ribosomal RNA is filed under the name Vreelandella stevensii. Its description in RNAcentral is "partial 16S ribosomal RNA". It matches the Rfam family "Bacterial small subunit ribosomal RNA", at positions 338 to 795 of the family's 1533-position model. The record is from RNAcentral. Lineage: Bacteria; Pseudomonadati; Pseudomonadota; Gammaproteobacteria; Oceanospirillales; Halomonadaceae.